AGUGAACGCUGGCGGUAGGCCUAACACAUGCAAGUCGAACGGCAGCACAGUAAGAGCUUGCUCUUACGGGUGGCGAGUGGCGGACGGGUGAGGAAUACAUCGGAAUCUACUUUUUCGUGGGGGCUAACGUAGGGGAACUUACGCUAAUACUGCAUACGACCUACGGGUGAAAGCAGGGGAUCUUCGGACCUUGCGCGAUUGAAUGAGCCGAUGUCGGAUUAGCUAGUUGGCGGGGUAAAGGCCCACCAAGGCGACGAUCCGUAGCUGGUCUGAGAGGAUGAUCAGCCACACUGGAACUGAGACACGGUCCAGACUCCUACGGGAGGCAGCAGUGGGGAAUAUUGGACAAUGGGCGCAAGCCUGAUCCAGCCAUACCGCGUGGGUGAAGAAGGCCUUCGGGUUGUAAAGCCCUUUUGUUGGGAAAGAAAAGCAGCAGGUUAAUACCCCGCUGUUCUGACGGUACCCAAAGAAUAAGCACCGGCUAACUUCGUG
This 492-nucleotide ribosomal RNA is filed under the name uncultured bacterium. Its description in RNAcentral is "partial 16S ribosomal RNA". It matches the Rfam family "Bacterial small subunit ribosomal RNA", at positions 29 to 507 of the family's 1533-position model. The record is from RNAcentral.